RNAcentral lists this transfer RNA (51 nucleotides) under Leiocephalus personatus (Haitian curlytail lizard). RNAcentral's name for it is "partial tRNA-Ala". The record is from RNAcentral. Lineage: Eukaryota; Metazoa; Chordata; Lepidosauria; Squamata; Leiocephalidae.
GAUAAGACCUGUGUUAAUCUAAAACACAUCUUCUGAAUGCAACCCAGAUAC